Molecule: ribosomal RNA, 403 nt
Filed under: uncultured bacterium
Lineage: Bacteria
Description: bacterial SSU rRNA
Rfam family: Bacterial small subunit ribosomal RNA
Source: RNAcentral
UGAGGAAUAUUGCACAAUGGGCGCAAGCCUGAUGCAGCAACGCCGCGUGCGGGACGAAGGCCUUCGGGUCGUAAACCGCUUUUCUGGGGGAAGAGCAAGGACGGUACCUCAGGAAUAAGUCUCGGCUAACUACGUGCCAGCAGCCGCGGUAAAACGUAGGAGGCGAGCGUUAUCCGGAUUUACUGGGCGUAAAGCGCACGCAGGCGGCUCUGUUAGUCGGACGUGAAAGCUCUCGGCUUAACCGGGAGAGGCCGUUCGAUACUGCGGGGCUUGGGGUAGGGAGAGGAAUGCGGAAUUCCCGGUGUAGUGGUGGAAUGCGUAGAUAUCGGGAGGAACACCUGUGGCGAAAGCGGCAUUCUGGCCCUCACCUGACGCUGAGGUGCGAAAGCGUGGGUAGCAAACA